GAAAUGAGCAGAUAGAUCAAGAAACAUUCUUUGUAAAUGAUAUGGAAGGUGUUGCACGAAAAAUUAGUCAUAAAUCAAAGUUGUUUUGGUUGUUGACUCGGAUAAUGCAGAAGAAGAAGGGCAAGAAGAAUAGAAGGAAGGAAGAAAGGGCAAAAUUGUUUACGACUUUAUGUGCUGAUUUUGAUGUUCGGUAUGAGCGGAAUCGGAAAUGUGGUUUUGAUGAUACUUUUCCUCCUGUUUGUGCACCUUGACAAGCUCUUUUUCUACCACCCCGAGGGCCUUGUUUGUGCUUGACCCCAAUCACAUAAGUAUAUAUCCUGUGUUGUUUUGAUGCUGUACUUGUUUCGGUUUUAUGGGGGGACAAAAUAUUCUAGAGAGCUUCCAGUACUUGAGCAGAUGCAUCAGCUAAAACGAUUUGCUCGGACUAGAUAAACGUUCUAAAAAAGCUACUCUAUUGCCUGUGGGAUAUUUAAGAAUAAGAAAGCUAAAUGAAAAAGACAUAUUUCACUAUAUAAACCCCAAGAUACGAAUGAGAAGUGUCUUGCAGAUAAAUCCAAUGCGUUACCCGACAUGGAGUGGGAGGAUCCUGUGAAAUUUUGGAUUACUGAAGAGCAUCAGGUACUUUCCGGUAGCAAUAUCAAGAGAAGCCACCGAAAUGCCAAGCACACAAUGGGUAGGAGAAACUAACCUCGAUGCAAGGCUGAAACACAAUCAAGAAAGUGACGAGGAUUGCCUAUAUAGCACACAGGCAGAAGAUUCAUCUGGAGUACAAAAAUGGGGCAGUCACUGGGAGGCUUUGAACACCCUCCCCGAUAUUGCGAGAACGAACUUGAUUGGGCUCACAUGUGUCACUAUUUCACCACAGACGACUUCAAGAGCCUGUUUAAAUUGUCUGAGACCAUGGGGUAGUGUUAAACGUGUUUGUAUAACAUGUGAAGUUGGAGGAGGAUUAUAUUUUGAUGUUCCUUGUAUAAAGAACAACAUAAAGUUCAAUUUUGGGUCUUCAAUCAAGGCAUUAACAAGAAUAGCAUCAUUAACAUGGGAUCAAUUGGUAACUUGCGAAUGAUACCAUUUUGUUGUUGGACAUUCACCGGAGUUUCUUUGAAUGUAGUGUUUCUUCAGCUUGAUGCUGUGCCUGUUAUCAAAGCUGAGAUUAAAGCAGCUAGAGAAUUGAUUCUUGAGAAGAAGAAAGACGGCCUUACUUGCCGUUAAAGAAGAUAAAGACCCAGGAAGAAUUAUUAAAGCAAGUUGAUACCUGGAUCAUGAAUGUUGAGCAACAAGUAAGUAAUCUGCAAACACCGGUGUGAUCAACUACUGACAGCACUCGCUUCAGAAGCUUUAUUGUUCUUUUGGUUAAGUGACUUUAACCCAUUAGCAUAUUUGGUGUCCUCUGUGUCAUAUAAACCUGAUAUCACCAAAAUUUAGAGGGUCUGCUACUGGUAGUUACUGUCAACAUAUGUAUGAAGUUGGCUUCUUUGUAAGUUGAAUAAUGCUAUUGAGCCAGCCAUUUGACAAGCCUUGCCUCUUCAAAGUUGAUAGUGUGAGGAGGUUUGGUGGGAUGAGUUUUGAUUUAUGUCGAA
Molecule: long non-coding RNA, 1580 nt
Organism: Papaver somniferum (opium poppy)
Lineage: Eukaryota; Viridiplantae; Streptophyta; Magnoliopsida; Ranunculales; Papaveraceae
Exons: 6
Source: RefSeq, a predicted model, not a curated record